RNAcentral lists this ribosomal RNA (551 nucleotides) under uncultured bacterium. RNAcentral's name for it is "bacterial SSU rRNA". It matches the Rfam family "Bacterial small subunit ribosomal RNA", at positions 38 to 569 of the family's 1533-position model. The record is from RNAcentral.
GGCGGCGUGCCUAACACAUGCAAGUCCAACGUGAAAGGGAGCAAUCCCCCGGUAGGGUGGCAAACGGGUGAGUAAUACAUGGGUGAUCUACCUUAGGGAUGGGGAUAUCCUUCCGAAAGGAGGGGCAAUACCGAAUAUUGUCCGGAGCCGUGAAGGUUCCGGGGAAAGGAGGCCUCUGAUACAAGCUUUCGCCUUAAGAUGAGCCCAUGGCCCAUCAGCUAGUUGGUAGGGUAAAGGCCUACCAAGGCUACGACGGGUCGCUGGUCUGAGAGGACGACCAGCCACACUGGCACUGAGAUACGGGCCAGACUCCUACGGGAGGCAGCAGUGAGGAAUAUUGCGCAAUGGGGGAAACCCUGACGCAGCAACGCCGCGUGUGGGAAGAAGGCCUUCGGGUCGUAAACCACUUUUGCACGGGACGAAAAAAGGGAUAUCGAACAAAUAUCCCCGAUGACGGUACCGUGAGAAUAAGCCACGGCUAACUCUGUGCCAGCAGCCGCGGUAAGACAGAGGUGGCAAGCGUUGUUCGGAAUUACUGGGCGUAAAGAGUC